Molecule: long non-coding RNA, 1605 nt
Organism: Acanthochromis polyacanthus (spiny chromis)
Lineage: Eukaryota; Metazoa; Chordata; Actinopteri; Pomacentridae
Exons: 2
Source: RefSeq, a predicted model, not a curated record
GGCAGCCUUCCGAUCCAGGUCGGUGAGGUUCCCUCGGUCACACGCACCAGGUCGCACCGGAGGUGAAGGAAACCGCUGCCCCCAUGUGUGUCAGCUCACGACGCCGCUUCACUCGUCUCAGAAUUCCACCCGGCUGGCCGCUCCUCUGGCACGCUGGGAACCCUUACGUAGACACAACAACAAGCGGCAGUAUGCGUUCUCAUACAACAGUGUUAGCUUAGCUCGUAUCCGCCAAGUGCUACUACUUUCUCUCUCGGUACUUACACGACAGGCAGGGACUUCUCCCUGCCGCUGCGUGUGAAUCACGUUGUAACACUUGCGGGCUCGCGGUCUCCAGUGCGUGUGUCUUUCCUUCAGCCCCUUUAGGACGGUUGCGAUAUGCCUCAGCGUCUCUUCGCUGCUCCCGGCAUCUUACUCUCUGCUGCUCCCAUUCAGCUGCUUUAUUCUCCCUGGCUUCAAUCACGCACAGCUGAAAGUGAUUGCCUGGGACUCUGUGAUUUGGGGUGGUCAUGGCAACGGCAGGCUAUAAUAACUGGAGAUGUUCCCUCAUCAUGGGAGCUCAGGAGGAAGAGACCAACCCUUCACUUUGAAGAUGAGCAACUUAACCAGGUUGUUUCAUUCUUGUUUAAAGUCAUCGAGGAAACAGCAGCGAACAGACUGGGUCGCCUUCAUUUUGAUGUUCUUUUGCCAGACGUAUGACAAGAUUGUGUUGUUUGCAUGAAGUGAUUAAUGAAUGAAUGAAUGUCAUGUGUGUAUUAAUACAUUUAUGUGUUUAAUCCAAAUGAACUAAAGGGGAAACGCUGCAUCUGAAACUUGGAAAGUUUAAGGGAAAUUUUUAGGAAUUUUUUUCAGAUUGAAGUUAAUAAAAUAUUACAUAUAUUUUCCUUUUGUUAGUCUUCCAGUGAAAAUUAAAGGAUUUGUGAUAGUUUUUUGUUUUGUUUUUUUAACUGUCCACAUUUCUUUCUUCUGGUCGAGGUGGCAGAUGCAGAUCAACUGAGCGUAUCAGAGGCUUUAGAAGGUUCAGAAGUUUCCACAAUAUGAACCAUGGUAAUAAUAAUAUGUGAACAAUUGAUGAUGAUGAAACAUCUACUUCAAUACCUUCUUCAUUUUUUUUUUACAGUGAGAUGAAAAUGUUGGCAAACAUGAUGAAAAACCUGUCAGAGGACGGAACAGUAAAGCUGAAAGCUUUUGGAAAAAAUGAAAACAGCCCUGAGGCAUUCCUCCAGAGACUUUACAUUUUACAUCCUACACACACUCGUACAUCACUACUUUGUUUUACUCUAUAUUUUUUUUAUCCAAAAAAGUUCACUUGUUUAUUUGUCUUUUGGUUGAUAGAUUUCAUUUUUCAAAUUAGAAUGCUGACAGGAGCAUGUGCCAGUGGAUGCAAUGAGCUCUUAAUCAGCUUUGUUUCUCAGCAGAGCAACACAUUAAAAGAGGUGAUGAAUGUAAUUAACUUCAGUUGUCAUGGUUUUAAAGCUCUGGCUGACUAUUAUUCUUCAUCAGUAAAUGAAUGUAGUUACCUGACUAUGAAAUUCAAAAGCAGUCUUGUGUAAGUUGUUGACUGUUCUCAUCAUCCAACCAAAUAAAGUCUGACACAGAAUGUUA